AAAGCUUAUUAUUAUAUAACCUUUGUCAGCCCAAAUAAAGACUUCAAAAUCACCAUGGAUUUUGAUCUUCUCUACCUUGUUCUAUUAGGCUCUGUUCUUCUCAUCUUCUACAAACUCACUGCUCAGAAGAAAAAAUUUCAACACAAAAACCAAUUACCAAGCCCUCCUAGUCUUCCUAUAAUCGGCCAUUUCCAUCUUCUGAAACAGCCCUUAGGCCAAACAUUGACAAAUCUCUCAGCUAAGUAUGGUCCUAUUUACUUUCUGCGUUUAGGCUCACGCCCAGCCCUUGUACUGUCCGACCGUUCAGUCAUUGAAGAGUGUUUCUCAAAGAAUGAUAUCGUCUUCUCCAAUCGUCCACUCUUGCCCUCCAGGAAGUUUACAUCUUACAAUUUUGUCACGAUUAGCGCUCCAUACGGCAACUUUUGGCGCAACCUUCGCCGUUUCACUGCGCUGGAAAUAUUCUCUGCGAAGCGUCUGCAGAUGUCUUCGAACGUCCGCGCCGAAGAGCUCAGGAUCAUGAUCAAACACUUGUUUGAACGCUCCCUCAAGGGGGCAAAGGAAGUGGAUGUGAGAGCGUUUCUGUACGUGUUGGAUUUUAACAUCAUCAUGAGAAUGGUUGCAGGCAAUAGGUGCAUUGAAAAGGAGAAAAUUGACACAGAUGAAGCUAAAGCUAAAAUGGAUGAGCUUACGCGUAUUUUCAGACCUGAUAUCACAAGCGCUUUGGGGAUUAUUUUCCAUUUCUGAGAUGGUUGAGUUACUUUGGAGUUGAGAGAAAACUGGUAAAAUUACAUAAAAAGAGGGACGCUUUUACGCAGCGUCUGGUAGAUGCACACCGAAAUUCAAAGAAACCAUCUUCAGUUGAUGAUAUUGAGAUUAAAGGAGCAGUUGUAGAUGUGAUGCUGAAGCUGCAGGAAUCGGAGCCUGAAUUCUACACUGAUAAUGUCAUCAAAGGAUUUAUGCAGGCCAUGCUAAUGGCAGGAACACACACCACGGUGAUGACAAUGACAUCGGCUAUUUCAGAGCUGAUAUCACAUCCAGAGGUGCUAAAAAAAGCGAGGGAAGAGAUAGAUAACGUUGUGGGACAAUCCAGGAUUCUAAAUGAUGCUGAUCUUCCUAAACUGGCAUACCUUCAUUGUAUUCUGAAUGAGACACUUCGACUGAAUUUUUUAUCAGUUUUACCUCCUCGAGAAUCGUCAGAGGAUUGUAACAUAGCAGGUUACCACAUCCCACAAGGCACACAGCUACUAGUAAACAUAUCGGCAGUGCAUACGGACCCGGAUGUAUAUAGCGAGCCAAAAAUGUUCAAACCUGAACGUUUCCAAGAUAUAACAGAAGAAAAGGGAGGCUGUAAAUUCAUGUCUUUUGGUGUAGGAAGAAGGAUUUGUCCUGGGGCUAGCUUGGCCAUGAGAGUGAUGGAAUUAUCACUAGGGACUUUGAUACAAUGCUUUGAAUGGGAAAACGCUGAGGAUGUUAGCGUUGGUGCUACGGAGACGCCUGUGAAAAUAAUAUUUCGACCUCGUGAAGAACUUGUUAAAGUUCUUGAUCAACUUUGAACUGUCACCAAACAGUUGGGAAACGUAUGCAAAGUUUACGGUUUUUAGUUGGACAAUGAGAUGAUGGGUAGAUGGACAUGUUUAUAUGAAUGUCAUAAAACCGAUGUUAAACAAUUACAUGUUGUU
This is an RNA transcript of Mangifera indica (mango), 1679 nucleotides long. It is a transcript of the gene named cytochrome P450 81Q32-like, with no coding region annotated. The transcript is spliced from 2 exons. NCBI's taxonomy places the organism in Eukaryota, Viridiplantae, Streptophyta, Magnoliopsida, Sapindales, Anacardiaceae. The record is from RefSeq and is a predicted model, not a curated record.